Molecule: transfer RNA, 73 nt
Filed under: Pseudomonadota bacterium
Lineage: Bacteria; Pseudomonadati; Pseudomonadota
Also listed under: 2 other names
Description: tRNA-Phe
Rfam family: tRNA
About the family: Transfer RNA (tRNA) molecules are approximately 80 nucleotides in length. Their secondary structure includes four short double-helical elements and three loops (D, anti-codon, and T loops).
Source: RNAcentral
GCCGAGAUAGCUCAGUUGGUAGAGCACGCGGCUGAAAACCGCGGUGUCGUCAGUUCGAUUCUGACUCUCGGCA